This 730-nucleotide long non-coding RNA is filed under the name Mus musculus (house mouse). Its description in RNAcentral is "predicted gene, 34022". Lineage: Eukaryota; Metazoa; Chordata; Mammalia; Rodentia; Muridae. The record is from RNAcentral.
GGCUCCACGGAGGUGGCAGAGCCGGGGAAGCCCACUCCUUCGGAUUUAGCAGAGCUUCAAGAACCAGCUCUCCAUGGUCCCAAUACACAGCUGACAGCAUGACCCUGGCAGAAUUCUUCAUCUGCCGCUUCAUCAGAAAACUGGGAAUGAAGCAACUCCUCCUUCCAAGUCCACUAUGACGGUUACAUGCAUAAACACGUGCAGAAGAAUGGAAUCCUCCAGCGCACUUCCCUGGACAAGCUGAGGCUCACAGGUGAUAGAAGCAGAAAUUGCAUAGCUCACCACUGACAGGACUCAAGAAGACCAGGGGAAUGAUAAAGGAAGCGUUCACUGCAUGUGAUCUGUCAACUGGUUGAAAGUGAGGUCACUGUUGUCACUAAGAUGCCUGUAGGGCAGCCCAUGAUCCAAGCUGGCAAAAGAAAAUCAGCAAAAGGACAAUCAACAUUAAUGGCUUGAGAGUCGUUUUCUUUUUUGUGUGGUUCCAGAAGUUGGGUGUCGUUUUCAUGGUUUUCUGGAGUCACAUGGCUUAACCUCUGAGGCAUGUGCUGGCCUGUUUGCCCUGGUUCCCAUCCACAGAAGAGUGAGGGGACUCAAGGACCAACCUACACAUGGGUCGCAACAAUCUGUGAUUCAAUGCUACAUAAUGCAAUGCCCUCUUCUGAUCUCCUGAGGAACCAAGCAUGUGUGUGGUAUGGUGUAUGUCUAUCUCUGUGUGUCUCUGUGUGUAUCU